CCUACGGGGGGCUGCAGUGGGGAAUAUUGGACAAUGGGCGAAAGCCUGAUCCAGCCAUGCCGCGUGUGUGAAGAAGGCCUUCGGGUUGUAAAGCACUUUCAGUGGGGUAGAAAGCCUUGGGGCUAAUACCCUCGAGGAAGGACAUCACCCACAGAAGAAGCACCGGCUAACUCCGUGCCAGCAGCCGCGGUAAUACGGAGGGUGCGAGCGUUAAUCGGAAUUACUGGGCGUAAAGCGCGCGUAGGCGGUCUGAUAAGCCGGUUGUGAAAGCCCCGGGCUCAACCUGGGAACGGCAUCCGGAACUGUCAGGCUAGAGUGCAGGAGAGGAAGGUAGAAUUCCCGGUGUAGCGGUGAAAUGCGUAGAGAUCGGGAGGAAUACCAGUGGCGAAGGCGGCCUUCUGGACUGACACUGACGCUGAGGUGCGAAAGCGUGGGUAGCAAACAGGAUUAGAUACCCCGGUAGUG
This 465-nucleotide ribosomal RNA is filed under the name Vreelandella stevensii. Its description in RNAcentral is "partial 16S ribosomal RNA". It matches the Rfam family "Bacterial small subunit ribosomal RNA", at positions 338 to 795 of the family's 1533-position model. Lineage: Bacteria; Pseudomonadati; Pseudomonadota; Gammaproteobacteria; Oceanospirillales; Halomonadaceae. The record is from RNAcentral.